Long non-coding RNA from Oreochromis niloticus (Nile tilapia), 1121 nucleotides. RefSeq lists it as uncharacterized. Lineage: Eukaryota; Metazoa; Chordata; Actinopteri; Cichliformes; Cichlidae. The record is from RefSeq and is a predicted model, not a curated record. The transcript is spliced from 5 exons.
CGUCCAGCACUCAGCAAUCUCCCACGUCAUAAGCUUACGCAGUGAACCACAGAUUACUCGCCUCCUAUUUAAGUCUCCUUUCCGGCACUGCGGUCUAAAGUUACAAACUGCCCGCGCUGCACUUCUGCUUCAGACAUCAUCACAGCCGAACGCCUCUGAGACGACAGGAUGAGUUCACGUGUUCUGAAGAUUAAAGAUGGGAGGUUGGUGAAAGCCUUGGAUUUUGGAGACGGAUUCAAGCUGUGUGCUGUUGACUCCCAACCUAAUGAUGAUACGGUCUAUAUAGAGAAACACUCCUCAAACAACUGGAUAGCUUUUAAAUUCAAUCUGACGGGGAAAGACUAUUUCCUAAAAUGGAAUAAACAGUCCCUUGAGCUGGUUCCGCCGGAUCAGCUGGAUAGUGACUCAGUGGAGUACUGGUUUCAGAAGCACAACUAUGGAGGCAGCGAACACUACGGCCUCAAAACUGUGCGUCAACCACAGAAAUACGUCUGCAUAUCUCAGGAAGACAGACGACGGCUUUUCAGCCUCAGUGACACCAUGCAGGAUUUGGCUCAAGUCAAAGAUGAGGCAAAGUAGAUGCGUUCGCCAACAGCCUUCUGCACACAUUUACUGCUGUCCGCUCUGUCUAUGAACCCAAGAGGAAGACAGUUUAUCUUUAGCUGAAUCCAAGCAGAACUCUCUCUUCCUGCUGUGCUUUGAUAAAGUAGCUGCACUAACUAGAGCUACAAAGUCUGGCUGGCUCAUUUUGUAUUCGUGGUAUAGGGAGAAAAAUGCUUUGGUGGUUGGGUUGGGUGGUAAAAGCACAGAUUAAAACUUUGCUCUUUUUUUACAUAUUGUAAACUACAGGUGGUGCAAAGGGAUGAGACUACUGGCCAAUCUCAAAGAAACUGUACAAACAUCAUCCAUAUGUUUUCAAAAAGAAUUUAUUACAAAUCCCAAUUCUUUAGAUUUUCGUAUUCAUCGUUCCCUUGUGAUUGCAAUAUACACUCUCUGUAUCUUUCACCUGCCACACUCGGCGACAAAAGUUUGUUCUUGGCACCACAACAAACAGAUUGAAGAAUUCGGAAAAAGCACCACAUGUCAGGUUUUUGUACAAUGUGAGUUUCUAGCCCCUGAUA